Long non-coding RNA from Homo sapiens (human), 2173 nucleotides. The record is from Ensembl. Lineage: Eukaryota; Metazoa; Chordata; Mammalia; Primates; Hominidae.
CACACUGUUCCUGCUUCCUGACAGGUUCACUUGAACCAUCUGGAGAUUGGGGAACAAGGGCAAUGAGUUGAACAUGUAGGAAGUUUCAUGGCCCAGCCCCUCCUGAGAGCCCUGAACUGCCAACCAGACUGAGCCCAUCAGAGAAUAACACCUCAUUUUCUGAGGAUUCUGAUACCUUUUCAAUCAGAAACAGAAGCAAAGAUUCUGCAGCUCCCACAGAAACUCCCAGAAACCUUGCGGUGCUUCACCCUUCUGAGAUCCUUGAGUCCGAAUGUGGGAGCUAACCAGGCACAUCUUCACAAUGAAAUCUUCACAAGCUCAGAACCAUCAACUUGCUACACUGUGUUCCUCCAGUGCCCAGUUCACAGGAAGCACUCAAGAGUAGGAUCAAUUGUUAUCAACCUCUAGCAGAUUAUUGAAUAGACGGUCGUUACAUGAAACUGACACUCAGUUCUUCAUGGUCCACGAUAGUUCUUAUAUCCAGAAAACGUACUUACGUUAUCAACUCUGACUCCAUAAGACAACUUUGCAAAGUCUUGGCUCAUAACUAUAAAUCAAGGCUGAAUCAAACAGGACUACUGUUCUGAAAGAAUACUCAGACUAUGAGUAGUGAAAUGGUGAAAAAUCAGACAAUGGUCACAGAGUUCCUCCUACUGGGAUUUCUCCUGGGCCCAAGGAUUCAGAUGCUCCUCUUUGGGCUCUUCUCCCUGUUCUAUGUCUUCACCCUGCUGGGGAAUGGGACCAUCCUGGGGCUCAUCUCACUGGACUCCAGACUCCACACCCCCAUGUACUUCUUCCUCUCACACCUGGCCGUCGUCAACAUCGCCUAUGCCUGCAACACAGUGCCCCAGAUGCUGGUGAACCUCCUGCAUCCAGCCAAGCCCAUCUCCUUUGCUGGCUGCAUGACAUAGACCUUUCUCUUUUUGAGUUUUGCACAUACUGAAUGCCUCCUGUUGGUGCUGAUGUCCUACGAUCGGUACGUGGCCAUCUGCCACCCUCUCCGAUAUUUCAUCAUCAUGACCUGGAAAGUCUGCAUCACUCUGGCCAUCACUUCCUGGACAUGUGGCUCCCUCCUGGCUAUGGUCCAUGUGAGCCUCAUCCUAAGACUGCCCUUUUGUGGGCCUCGUGAAAUCAACCACUUCUUCUGUGAAAUCCUGUCUGUCCUCAGGCUGGCCUGUGCUGAUACCUGGCUCAACCAGGUGGUCAUCUUUGCAGCCUGCAUGUUCAUCCUGGUGGGACCACUCUGCCUGGUGCUGGUCUCCUACUCACACAUCCUGGCGGCCAUCCUGAGGAUCCAGUCUGGGGAGGGCCGCAGAAAGGCCUUCUCCACCUGCUCCUCCCACCUCUGCGUAGUGGGACUCUUCUUUGGCAGCGCCAUCGUCAUGUACAUGGCCCCUAAGUCCCGCCAUCCUGAGGAGCAGCAGAAGGUCCUUUUUCUAUUUUACAGUUCUUUCAACCCGAUGCUAAACCCCCUGAUUUACAACCUGAGGAAUGUAGAGGUCAAGGGUGCCCUGAGGAGAGCACUGUGCAAGGAAAGUCAUUCCUAAGAGGUGUGACAUUUGAACUGCCAGCCUCAGUUGUCACGUGGACUCUUGAUGCCCAAUUAUUGCCUCAAUCCAGAAAAGUUUACUUCUCUUUAUCUGUGCUUUACUGACAGAAGGGCAAGUCUUCUCUCGUUUUUUGCAGAUAAAAUUUUAGAUGUGUUGCAUUCAUUGGGUUUCUAUGAGAUGUGGUUUUAUCAGACAAUUUUUUCUUUUAUUUCACAAUUACUUUAAUAUCUGUAAAAUAAAGAAUUAUUUUAAUUCAUUUUCCCAGUCCCAAAAGUUAAAUACAGGCCACUUACUUCUUUAACCAAAUGAUAUAGUUUGGCUCUGUGUCCCCACCCAAAUCUCAUGUCAAAUUGUAAUCCCCGCAUGUCAGCGGAGGGACCUGGUGGGAGGUGAUUGGAUCAUGGGGAGGGAUUUCCCCCUUGCUGUUCUGUUGAUAGUGAACGAGUUCUCACGAAAUCUGAUGGUUUAAAAGUGCAGCACUUCUCCCUUUGCUCUCUCUCUCCUGCUGUGCCAUGGUAAGACGUGCCUUGCUUCCCCUGUGGCUUCCGCCAUGAUUGUACCUUUCCUGAGGCCUCUCCAGCCAUGUGGAACUGUGAGCCAAUUAAACUUCUUUUCUUUAGAAA